This is a long non-coding RNA of Bufo gargarizans (Asiatic toad), 339 nucleotides long. RefSeq lists it as uncharacterized. The record is from RefSeq and is a predicted model, not a curated record. NCBI's taxonomy places the organism in Eukaryota, Metazoa, Chordata, Amphibia, Anura, Bufonidae. The transcript is spliced from 3 exons.
GGCAGCUCGGUGGAUGCCUCUCCACCUGGGGCUUGCUGCCCCCCACUAAUUGGCGGGCUGGGUAUUUAAAUAGGGGGGGAGAUCUCAUUAUGUUGCCUCAGACCCUUUGCCCCACAUCGACGGUGUUACCAUGCACUAGAUAUUGGGUAACUCCUGACUGUAGGAGCCAUACUCUGGGGGACCGCUCUGCAUUUGCAGUUAUUCUCAGCUGUAUUUAUGAACGGGCUAUUCAGGGCUACUACCCCUGAUGCCCUCCCAUGAGCACUAUAACAAAUUAUCACUUUUUGGCUUGGUGCCCUCUGUGACUUCAGGUAUUUAUUAAGUACUGGUUGUGCACUC